AUUGAACGCUGGCGGCAUGCCUUACACAUGCAAGUCGAACGGCAGCACGGGAGCAAUCCUGGUGGCGAGUGGCGAACGGGUGAGUAAAGUAUCGGAGCGUGCCCAGUCGUGGGGGAUAACGUAGCGAAUGUUACGCUAAUACCGCAUACGAUCUAUGGAUGAAAGCGGGGGAUCGCAAGACCUCGCGCGAUUGGAGCGGCCGAUAUCAGAUUAGGUAGUUGGUGGGGUAAAGGCUCACCAAGCCGACGAUCUGUAGCUGGUCUGAGAGGACGACCAGCCACACUGGGACUGAGACACGGCCCAGACUCCUACGGGAGGCAGCAGUGGGGAAUUUUGGACAAUGGGCGAAAGCCUGAUCCAGCCAUGCCGCGUGCAGGAUGAAGGCCUUCGGGUUGUAAACUGCUUUUGUACGGAACGAAAAGGUUUGGCCUAAUAAGCUGAGCUCAUGACGGUACCGUAAGAAUAAGCACCGGCUAACUACGUGCCAGCAGCCGCAGUAA
This 500-nucleotide ribosomal RNA is filed under the name uncultured bacterium. RNAcentral describes it as "partial 16S ribosomal RNA". It matches the Rfam family "Bacterial small subunit ribosomal RNA", at positions 30 to 523 of the family's 1533-position model. The record is from RNAcentral.